AAGUCGUAACAAGGUCUCCGUAGGUGAACCUGCGGAGGGAUCAUUUGAGUAUCGUUGGGGGCAGCAAUGCCUAUCCCAUGGGUAUGAAGCGUGAACCGGAAGGAUUGCCCGGUCUUGCAUGCGGAGUGUGGCUUGCCGCCGCCGCAUGCGGGACCGCGGGUUGUGGCCGCAGUGCCCGUCUUUGGUGACGGCGCUCGGCCGUAUGCAUGGACUUGUGUUGCAGGAUGCAGCAUUGGGCGUGCUUUGAUAGACACGCCGACCGGAAACCUGGCAGCAGCGAAAGGCGCAAGCCGGACGCAACCGAAAAUCGAUACAACUUUUGGCAACGGAUCUCUUGGUUCCC
RNAcentral lists this unclassified non-coding RNA (343 nucleotides) under fungal sp. RNAcentral describes it as "partial internal transcribed spacer region". The stretch from base 1 to 46 matches the Rfam family "Eukaryotic small subunit ribosomal RNA", at positions 1786 to 1831 of the family's 1831-position model. The record is from RNAcentral. Lineage: Eukaryota; Fungi.